GGGGAGUACCUCUACACAUUCAAAAAUUUGAAUACAGAGAAAAGUAUGGCCCCUGUGCAAGGAUGACAUGCAAAAUCAUGAAGCAUUCCAUAUUUUU
Molecule: small nuclear RNA, 97 nt
Organism: Capra hircus (goat)
Lineage: Eukaryota; Metazoa; Chordata; Mammalia; Artiodactyla; Bovidae
Source: Ensembl